Syngnathus typhle (broad-nosed pipefish) is the source of this 2334-nucleotide long non-coding RNA. RefSeq lists it as uncharacterized. Lineage: Eukaryota; Metazoa; Chordata; Actinopteri; Syngnathiformes; Syngnathidae. The record is from RefSeq and is a predicted model, not a curated record. The transcript is spliced from 3 exons.
GGCAACAUUAGUAUGCGAGAUUCUCAUCUGUCUGUCUUUGGCUUAAGUAGUGGCGUGGCGCACGAUGUCAGGGCCAUGAAGACUCAAAUAUUUGUUCCCCUUGGUCGGGAACCUCAAGGGCUCCCAGGGUCCCCUCGGCUUUACUGAUGAGUCACCUCCACUCUUUUGAAGGAGUUACACAAGCAAGCAAGCAAGCAGGCAGGCAAGCAGGCUCAGUAUUCCGCUAGUAGGCUGCCGCCAAGUUUCUUCCAACCCACGCUACGCCACUGCUCUUGACUGUUCCGUCACCAGCCCGACAUCAUCAUCAUCAUCACCUGUGAGAUAUUUUUGUUCCUGCUUUUAUCUGCUCUACUGGUGACAGCGGUGCCGCGUGGGGAAAGAGCAACGAUCGGGAAUUGCCACUGGGUCGGACAACAGAACAAGAGUCCCUUAAUCUCAUUCCUUGAUGAGCUGGAAAACACCUAAGACUUCAGCUUUAAUACGCAGAUGGAAUCCAUUGACGGGAAACGCCGGACCGCAAGUGACCUCCUUGAAUUUCCGAAGGCAUACGGUCUUGACCGACAUAGCCGCUCGCUUUUAAUGGAAGACUACCUCCGCCGUGGAAUGCGGUUAUCGGCAGGAGGGGCUCAUAACUCAGGCAAGUUUUCCCGACAGUUUAAUGCCUUAAUGGCAGCUGAUUGGUGGCAUUGAUUAGCCUUUGUGAAAGGCCCGCAGACAGGAAGUCAUUUGUCAUUCAGUGCCGGUCGUUUCCAAACCCUCCUUUAUCCUAGCGUGUGAAAAAAUACCGAACUGGGAUUGGAUGUCUGGAUUCCCAAAAGAUGGAAUGAGAUUUAAAAGGCCCGCUGAAAGAUCUGUGUCAACAUGAUAAAUGGAACAUUUUCAUUCAAACGGGGAUGACUUGAUUUAGAAGAGUGAAAAUGUCAAACUUUUAGACAUGCUUAAAGAAAAUCUGCUGUUUUGCCAGCUGGGGAAAGAUGUUACUUUUGCUUUUUUGCCCUUGGUAGCGGUCGGAAGUGUACAAUUCUCUUUCUUUUAAGUCGAAAGCCAAUAUUUGGUUAACCGCCGCUCCCUCCCCCCAGUGCCUGACAUCAACUAACAAGGACCUUUUGCCAUUUACUUUUGUUGCACCGGGAUUUCAUUCAACUCUAGCGGAAAUGCAUCCCAGCACUCUUAUGUGACUGAAAUAGAAAAAGGAGCACGGGCAAGGAAACAAAAGGCAGCCAGACAUGAAAAUAAACACUGGAUUUUACUUCAGCAUUUCACAUCUACUGAUGAAUUCAUUGGGAAAGCUUGUGGUCGCCGGAUUAUCCUCAACCUGUGGUCCGCGGCUGUCUAGUGGUCCGUGGCGGUAUUGCAGGUGGUCCGCGAUAUUGGAAAUGGAAAAUAGUUUUUAAAACAUUUUUCAAAAUUAAAUGGAUUUAUUAUUUAGACGAUUUAUUUUCCAGCUAAUUUUGUGAAUCAUUUACCCAUACAAAUGAUGUCAAAAUAGAAUUAAAUUAAAUUAAAUACAGAUGCAAAUAUGUAGCCUGUAUAGGUCUAUCUUCCUUCGGUGCCAAAUAAAAUAAGUUUCCGCCAAAGCAGUGGUCCCCGAGUUGCCUCUUGGUUACAAUGGUGGUCUCUUGGACAAAACCGGUCGGUUUAGAUGAUUGAGAGGUGUCAUUCACUUCCGAGGCGGGGGAGCCACGACCAUCGCAAAAAGCGUAAUAGAAGAGCGACCACUCAGGGCCGAUACAACGGGAAAGCGGCUAAUCUUAGUUCUUUUGUGUCUUUGAUACAGUCGUCAAGUAGUUUUGCAGCGUCGGCAAGUCUCUUCAAAUCCGAAGAGAGGAUUGUGGGGUUUUUUUUCCCCAAAGUUAACUACGGGAGCUGUGAAGAUUCUCCUCAAUCUGCCGUCUCAACCGCACGAGUCAGCAAGCAGCGGGGUGUCGGAGCAACGUGCGUGUGCUUGUCACGCUCCUUUACAGCUAAACUUUGGAGCCACAUCAAAGUGGAUGAUGCGCCUCCAUCUUUCGCCGUAUAAUGUCCAAUGUAUUCACGCGCUGGCCUUUCAAGGCACGGCGGGACGCUCGUCGCCGUCAGGCCCUAAACUCCAUACGCAAAUGUCUUGCCGGGAGGAACCUGUCAUUUACCCGCUGAAGAAUUUAUUGGAAAAGCAGCGGAAAUUUUUCAGCAGACAAAUGAGUUGAAAAAUGCAAUAAAUGGAAACACGCCGACGGUUGUUUGACUCAUUAAAAAAUCAUGUCGCUAAACCUCAGCACCUCUGAUGAGGGGGGGGAAAAGCGCUGAUUUGUCAAAGCUCUAAUGUCUGUCAACAAGUCAAUUUCUGGCGCUGGU